GUGAAUCAUCGAAUCUUUGAACGCAAAUUGCACUCUCUUCGGAGAGUAUGCCUGUUUGAGGGUCAGCCUAAAAAAAAAAUCGACAUAGUCGCUGUUUCGCGGUGAUAUUCGUCGGAAAUUGGGUAAUCUUAAACUUUUGGGUUUUAAGCGGCUUAAAAUUUUUUUUACGAUUCCACGAACGUUUCUAAUAUUUACUUCUUGUACGUUUAAGUAAGUGAUCUUUAUUAGACUUGGCCGUUGCA
RNAcentral lists this unclassified non-coding RNA (242 nucleotides) under Glomus sp. Its description in RNAcentral is "partial contains 5.8S ribosomal RNA and internal transcribed spacer 2". The stretch from base 1 to 65 matches the Rfam family "5.8S ribosomal RNA", at positions 84 to 154 of the family's 154-position model. Lineage: Eukaryota; Fungi; Glomeromycota; Glomeromycetes; Glomerales; Glomeraceae. The record is from RNAcentral.